Molecule: transfer RNA, 86 nt
Filed under: Bordetella bronchiseptica MO149
Lineage: Bacteria; Pseudomonadati; Pseudomonadota; Betaproteobacteria; Burkholderiales; Alcaligenaceae
Also listed under: 2 other names
Description: tRNA Leu anticodon TAA, Cove score 79.53
Rfam family: tRNA
About the family: Transfer RNA (tRNA) molecules are approximately 80 nucleotides in length.
Source: RNAcentral
CGCACCCAUGGCGAAAUUGGUAGACGCAAGGGACUUAAAAUCCCUCGCCGCAAGGCGUCCCGGUUCGAUUCCGGGUGGGUGCACCA